This 396-nucleotide ribosomal RNA is filed under the name uncultured bacterium. RNAcentral describes it as "bacterial SSU rRNA". It matches the Rfam family "Bacterial small subunit ribosomal RNA", at positions 30 to 429 of the family's 1533-position model. The record is from RNAcentral.
AUUGAACGCUGGCGGCAUGCCUUACACAUGCAAGUCGAACGGCAGCACGGACUUCGGUCUGGUGGCGAGUGGCGAACGGGUGAGUAAUGUAUCGGAACGUACCUUUCAGUGGGGGAUAACGUAGCGAAAGUUACGCUAAUACCGCAUAUUCUGUGAGCAGGAAAGCAGGGGAUCGCAAGACCUUGCGCUGAUUGAGCGGCCGAUAUCAGAUUAGCUAGUUGGUGAGGUAAAGGCUCACCAAGGCGACGAUCUGUAGCGGGUCUGAGAGGAUGAUCCGCCACACUGGAACUGAGACACGGUCCAGACUCCUACGGAGGCAGCAGUGGGGAAUUUUGGACAAUGGGGGCAACCCUGAUCCAGCCAUGCCGCGUGAGUGAAGAAGGCCUCGGUUGUAAG